This is a long non-coding RNA of Cornus florida, 7738 nucleotides long. RefSeq lists it as uncharacterized. The transcript has 6 exons. NCBI's taxonomy places the organism in Eukaryota, Viridiplantae, Streptophyta, Magnoliopsida, Cornales, Cornaceae. The record is from RefSeq and is a predicted model, not a curated record.
UCAUUUUUGUAUAAAGCACUUUGUUCAACCGGAGGGUGAAAUCCAGCGCUGACUAAUUAAAAACCUGGGAUUCCUGCUUCUCUCUCACACAAUAGGAAAUAAGCUUGAAACAUGAUUCAGAAAAUGGAUCAAGUAUGUGUCAGAUUUUGAGCAAGGAGGCAUUCUGCCUUUGUACUUGUAUUUUGUUCGUGCACAAUCAACUGAGGCCUCUCCGGUUCAUGUUGCAAGGUAAGAUUUUAUAAGGCAUUCCAAUGGGGAAUGCAUCCUGCAAAAGAUUGUACAAGAAAGAUGGUAUCAAGCCACAUGGUUCUGAUGCGGCCCGAUUCUCCAACAGAACAACAAACCAGCUAACAUCCAACAACAAACCAGCAAACAUCCAACGAAACUGUUAGUGUGUAUGUAUAGAGAGUGGAAGCGGGAAAUGGCCAUCCCCAUUUCCAGGCUUUCCAUUUCUCGCUCUCACCGGCUCUCCCAUUCUUUUUCUCUCCCAACUUUCCAAAUAAAGAGUCAUUUACAAAGGCAAGGACAUUUCAUUGCUCUGUUACAUCGGAAUUCAAUUCCCUUAGUUAAGUUUGAAUACUCAAUUUUAUUGCCUUCCUUUGCUUUGAAGUUGUUGUAGGUGUUCAUUUCAUAUACAUACACCAAAUUGACAUAAAGGUUAUGUAAGAAAAAGAUAAUCUUGGUAACCAAUUAGUUAGUCUCCUGGGUUCUUGAUAUCACAAUAAUUUGGGAUUACUGGAUUAUUAUUUGUAAAGACAUUUGGAUUAAUGUGUAGUUGAUUUAUUUUGCUUUGGUCCAGACCAUAGGUGUACUUUUGUGGAACUCACCUCAUUCGACACCCCAUAAAGUUAUUUCAUUCUUUCAAAUCACUGGUUAAUCUAUGAUUUGUAUGCCAUUAUGUCUAUCUUCUCAUUUCUAGAAUCUAAGUCUAGUGCUUUUACUAUUUUUUGGUAAUUAAGUUUAGUGCCACUACGAAUUUGCCAAAUGUCAAUUUUUAAUUUUAAAUUUUCCACAUUCUAUAACUCUUUGUUUUUUAGGGUUGACAGAGGUGGGCAAUAUGUUUUCUUUGUGAGCAGCUGCAAUGGAGGAGUCAUUGCUGUUGCUGAUGGCGUUUCUGGGAAUGGAAGGAUGUUACGGAGCUGGAGCCAACUAGUCACCGGAAUUGAGCACUUCAAGACUCCAGUCCCUUUUUCGUUUUGCCCUUUGCUUUGAGUUUCUGGAUAUUACUGGCUGUGCUUGCUGUCAGGGUGAAAUCAUCAGAAGUGAUUCCAUUGGAGCUGGUUUCCAUCUUGUUCUGAAGGUCAUCAUUUGGAACAUGGGCAGUGGGAAUGCAUUGAGCAUCAUCAUUGGAUUUACCUUUGCUUUCUGGGACAACUGACAUGUCAUUGGCUUGGGUAGGGGAAAUAUUAUUGGUUUGGACUGACUGGAACAUGUGUGGUUUGAAUGGAGAGAGGUCAAUAAGAAGUUUGUGGCUGGUGAGUUCUGUUCUGGUUUUCUUGGACUUGGGAAAUUGGCAUAAUGGAAAUGGGGGGAUGGAGGCAGUGAUAGUGUUAGAUGGUGAGACAGCAGGGCAACUCUGUGGUGGUUUGCUGGUUUUUUGGGGCUUGAGGGUGUGGUGUGGGAACGAGAGGUGACACAGUAGGUUGAGAGGGAGGGUUGAUAGGACAAGAUCUGGUAGGGCUAAGACUAUGGUACCUGUUCAUGUCUCUAGAAUCACUAUUGUGCAUAGAUGGAUUAAUUCCUCUUGAUUUUGCUUGAGAGGGCUUUUCUUGUAGGUGACCCCACCUGCCAGUCAGAAUGUUGGUUUGACCUUCAUGGUUGGGAUGGGCAUCAUCAUUUGCAUGGUGAUGGUAAAGUUUGGGGCUGGGAGCGUCAGUUGCAAGGGUUGAGGGCUCAGGGGGUUGAAUGAGAGGCUAGUUUGAUUCUGAAUGGUUCAGGUAUGAGCAAGAGUGACAGUCCUUAGGGAGCGAUUGGUACUCCACUCUGAUUUCUGUGAUCUUGUUGUCCUUGCUCUUGAGGCUAUCAGCUGGCCCAUCGCUCCAUUUCCUCAAGCUGAGUUGGUUGCCUGAGAUGGACCAUGGUCCCUUAGAGAGGACAGAGGAGGCAGCUGCAGGGUUGGUGAAUUGGAAAUAAAAGGCUCCUUUUCCAUCAGCAGAGGUUUCACAAGCCGAGAGUUUUUCCAGAGCAUGGUAGCUGUUGCUUCCACAAGUUUAUAAGAGAAACUUCAAUAAAGAGCACAACAUAGGAUAGAUUUUCUUGGAAUUUACAGAGAAACUCCAAUAAAGAGCACAACAGGGCUGAUGACCUGUUGGUCUCCCAUCCAGGGAUUUGGGCAAAGUAACAUCCGGGUGGGGAUGUUCCACCCCAGGUACUGCAUGGCAAUACCUUGACAAAGUUCUUUACUAGUUUAAUAUGGGUAGAGAAUCCUCUAUCCUAGUGAGCUGUUUUUUUUUUAUUUUUUAUAUUAUGUCAUGUAUGUCCUGUAUCAAAACCUAUCUAUGAUAAUAUUAGGUUUGAAAAGCACAGAAUGGAAAUUAGGGAAAGCAUAAGCUUCUCAUCACUUGAAAAGUAGAGUAAUAGCUAUGACAGUACAAGUUUCUAUCUUUUUAAAUCCCAUCAGUAAUCAGCUUAUGUAGCUUCUUCUCAUCACUUGAUGAGUUAUUAUUGAAAUGCACGGCAGAAAAGUACGUAGUUAUGAGAGUAAAAGUUUAAUUAUAUUAAAUCCUCACCAGCUUAUAUGCUUCUGAUCAAUUGCUUCGAUCCUUUUUCUGAUUAGAAAUGAUGAGGGGGGCAAUUUCCUUCACUCGUUGUUCAGUCAUUACCACAGUAACUGGAGGUGCAGGAAUUUCUGCUGGCUUUCUGAGUUUCCAGGUUAGAAAGACAAAGGGUAACAGUUGCAAGAGCAACACAAGAUCUGUAAAAGAAAAGGUGCUUAGAAUACAUUGACAUAAAUUAUUGAUAUAUCUAUCCCCUCUCUUCCAGGAAUCAUAUCCUUAUCGGCCCUCUUUUUCUUGUUAGCAUCCUUAUUAUCACUCUUUUUUCCAUUAUCCUCAUCAUUAUCAUCCUUUUUGGCUUUCAUGGUUAACUUGGAAUUUCCUGCAUUCAUAACAUUGUUCAUUAUAAAUUGUGUAUAUAAAAUAUAAGUUGGAACAUUAAGUUGGUAUAAAACUACCAAGCAGAUGAUUUUUGCCCUUUUGAAUGCUGAUCCCUUUCCAAGGUAUCAUCCCUGAAAAUUAAAAUGAAUCUAAAGUAAUUAGAUGAGUUAACAAUUAUGCAAAUUCAGAUCAAUUCAAACACAUUUAUUUAUAUUAGUGAGCACAGAUUCAGAGACCAAGUUAAAUAAUCAGAUCAAUGGCACAUACGCACAAAAUGUACGAAAGUACUUUGUCUUGAAUCACAAAAUUUCAUUAAAAAAGGAGCAGUUAUCUAUUGAUUCUUUAGAUACGAUUCAAACAGGUCUGGACAAAAUGCACAAUUUCAUAAUAAAAAAAACAGUUAUAUAUUGAUAUACGAUUUAAACAAAUCUGGACAACAAAUAUACCUCUCUUGAUACGGAGGUUUCUUUGAAGAUCCAGUAAUCCGUUUCUUGCUCCGAUUGAUUGAUAUAAAGUUGUGAAAUCCGUUGCCUUCAUCUGUGUGAACCUACAAGUGGUUUGCAGAAUCGCCGCCUCCAUUCUCUCUCUCUCUCUGUCUUCGGGAAUAAAUUUUGUUAGGGUUUGGGUUUACAUUUAUUUUGUUAAAAAAAAAAAAAAAAAAAAAAAAAAAACCAACCAGUCAACUAGUUCAAUGUAGGUUUAAAUUGAACUGAACUAUUAGUAAUUGAUAACCAUAUCUAAUAAUUUUUUGGGAAAAUGCUAAACAUCACAAAUUAUUCACAAAAAUAACUCGAAUUAGGUGGCCAAUGGUGUAGCUAAUGAUAUGGCAAUGUGUUUAGUGUGAAAGCAAUUUCCUUUAGAGAAUUUAGUAUAUAACAAAGAGAGAAAAAAAGUAAGGGUAAAUUGCACUCACACCCCAGGCUUAGGUUAAAGACACCUAGCUACAACUUGGACACUGUUUGGAUAAUGACACCCUCUAGAUUUGCAAAAUUGAACAAUUACACCCUAACUACCUUUGGCACAAAGUGAAAUUACUUUAUUGCCCUUUUACUUAUCAAUUGACCCAUUGGAAUGUUGAAUUACCCAUUUAACCUUCUAACUAUUUUUAAUCUACCAAAGUAACAUCUCCAUCGCUAUACAGAAUCCAUAUAGAUAUGUAUAUAUAUAUAUAUGUAUGUACGUAUCAUCUCCUUCUCUUAUACAUAUACAAUAGAUGUUUUUCUAGGAAUUGUCCUAAUUUUUUUAAUACAAUUUUUGAAAGAAAAGCACAAAUAAAGUCUUAUGUUAGACUUCAAAAAUAGAGUUAUAAGCUUAAUUCCUGAAAAAUAUUCACAUGAACUUCCAGUCAUGUCUUCUGCAAGCAUUAGUAAAGGCAUAGGUGCGUGAGUACUAACUAGGAAAAAAAAAACUUAAUUAAACAACAAAGUUGAGAUUAAACUAUUGAGAAAUUUAAUUUUUCUUCACAUAUUUCUUUGUUGAAGAAUAAUAACAUGGAUUUCAAAUUGUAUAAUGAGUACUCCACGGUCGGGGAAAUGUUGUGUUGCACUCGUCUUAAAUACUUAACAUUGGUUUUAUUAGAAGUUAAACAUCAAAAUAAAAUUUAUAAAUUUAAUAUAAAACGGAUUGAAAAAAAAAAAAAAAAAAAACUCACAAUUCAAAGAAAAAAUUUAAAAUUAUGUAACUUUAUACAAAUAUUCAAAUGUCAUAGUUUUGCUAUACCUGACAUCACUGUUAUGUAACGAUUCGAACUUGAGGGUCCGAAUCAUUAACCGGGUCCUUAAUCGAACCCGAAGUCAUCUAAGGGCAAUACGAUCAUUUCCAAGGUUGAAGUAUAAUUAGAAUGCAUUCCCUGUCUUUGUAGUACAUCUUAGUGUCAUGAAGUAGGUCGGGAUUGGACAAAAUGGGAAAAGAACAACAAAUGGGGAAGUAGCAGGAAUCGGUCGACGUGUGCAAGUUACACGUUGACCGGUUCAUGCCUUUCGGUCGACGUGUCGAUCGGUUUGGCUCUGCACAUGAAAUAUGGUUCUGUCGAGAUACCGGUUGACGCCUAGGCUUCCACACGUCUACCGGUUUGUGCUUCCUUAGCCUUUAAGGCCUGUUUUCGAUGGUUUAAGUCCCCGGCGCCCUUAUUGGUCCAUUUGCAACCUUAAACAUGAUCUAAAUAUGUCUCAAAAACAUAAAUUUUAUCGCAUACAACACAAUUAAACAUCCAUGUAUCUAUAUAAUCAUUAAACGAGCUUGGUGUGUCAUAUAUAGUCAAAUGAAUCCGGUUACAUCAUAACAUGGCCCUACGGUCCUACAUAGGACUAGAAAUCCUAAUGAGAUCACAAAAGAUACAAAGAUGGUCAAAACUAUUUCUAUCUGUAAGAUGAAUACAUAUACCGGUCUUAUACAAGCUUAUAGCAAAAUAGAUACAUGUACAUUACAUUUCUUCAAAACAUCAAUUAUUACAUUGAUUACAAAAAAAAAAUCAAAGGUCCCUCUAUAAGCUUAUGGGGGAAUAUAAUCCACCACCUCAUUUCCGUGACUUGAAAAUGGUAUGUGAGCACAACAGCUCAGUAGAUGCCUAAAACGCACUCUUUAAUGAUCCCGUGAAUUACACGCAAAGAAUGGAAUAAAGAAAGGGGGUCAUGCUCAAUUUGGAGAGGAAUAAUCAAUAUGAUUCAUGUCACACAAAUCCAAGUAAAAUCAAUGCAAUGAUAUGCAGUGCCAAUGCGAUGCAAUGCCCACUCCCCAUUUCCAAAACCUUUACCAACACAACAACCGCCAAACCGUUAAUGUAACCUGGCCUGGGGCGACUCCCCGGCAUCACGAGAGAAGAAUUGACUAACGAUUCCUAACCUAAGACAACUCCUUAGUGUCAUUUGGGACCUAGGUAACUCAACUACACAUAGGGCAGUCUCUGUACGUUCCCUCUAGGUUUCAUUAACCCCAUGGACAUAAGGCGACUCCUUGCCGUCUGGUUUUUGCAAACUUCUUUUCAAAACCUUUCCCAAAAUCAAUUUUCAUUUGAAAAUCAAUGUCCCAUUACUCACCCAAUGCCAAUGCAUGAAUGUUUUAUGAAUUUCAACGUCAUGCCAAUAUGAAUUUUUUUUUUACAUCAACUAGAAUCAUAUUUGCAUGCUUUGGAGAUAAUUAAUACAACAAUUAUCAUGCUAUCAAUUUCUCAACCAUGACAUUUUAAGCAUGUAAAGCAUGUAGUAAUAUCAAUCAAGCAUAUAUCUUCACAAUAGCUCACAUAAGCAUGUAAUUCAACACAUUUCAUCACAUAAAACAUAAUAUCAUGCCUUAAAAUCACAAUUUUGGGCAUGAUAUAUUCUAUAAUACAAAUAUAAGAGAAUUAAUUCACAAAAACCAAAGGUUGUUGGCUUAAGGAACCCUUACCUCAAGAAGAAGAGUAAAGAAGAAGAGAAUUAACUCACAAAAAACCAAAGGUUGUGGGCUUUAGGAACCACUACCUCAACACAUUUCGCCCCUUUAUGCAUAUGCAUACAUUAAACAUGCCACAAAUAUAUAAUAAAACACACAACCACGUCGAUACACUACAAAUAAUGAUAUAUGAAAUAUAAUGAUCUCGAAAUGUAGCCCCGAGCACCAAAAAUCCAAGUGCGGGACUCAUACGGGACCUCCCAGACCAAAAAUCCGAAAAAUGGGAAAAAGACUAGAAAUGCAUUUCUAAGAGCUCUAAAUUCAAAGAAAUGUCCCAAACCACACUUGGAACUUACGUGGCAUGCUAACCGGGGGGUGGCACACAAAACGAGGCGAGAAAAUAAAUUAAUUCAAAAGUUUGAAAAAUGCCCGAAAAAUGAAAAAUUGCGAAACGUCACAUGUUAGUUGAACAUUAAGGCUAUGUUUGGUAUAGUGGAAAAGAAAAGAAAGGAUAACAUUAGUUUGGAAGGAAAAAAAGAGAAAGGAAAGGACAUGAUAGUGUUAAUUACUUGUCAUGUUUGGUUGAUUAAUAAAGGAAAAGAAAGGAAAUGAUAGUGAUCAUGUUUGGGGAAAGAAAUGAAUGAAAGCUAUUGUAAUGAAUUUACAACCAUACCCUUUUUCAUAGAAUUUUCUAUUAUAAAAAUUAAGGCAAAUUUGGUAUUAACAAAGUUUCAUUAAAAAUGUUAGUUUUUCCUUCCCUUUCCUUCCAUUUCCUCCCACUUUGGGAGGAUAACAAAAGCUACUAUUUAUGCAUCAUUUUAUCCCUCCAAAUUGUUCUCUUUCCUUUCCAUCCAACAUUUCCUAUCAAAGACAUUUUUUUUAUUUUCUUCCAUUACCAUUCUUUUAUUUUCCUUCCAUUUCCAUUCUACAAAACUGACCUAUUUUUGUUUAAUUUCAACAUAAAUGUAACCAAACGAGUGUGACAUAAUUGAUACAUGGUUACAUUUUCCUCCCCCAUUCUCUCUCUCUCUCUCUAUAUAUAUAUAUAUAUAUGUAUAUGUGUAAGAGAAGGAGAUGAUAUAUAUAUAUAUAUACACACACACGUAUGUAUUCUGUGUAGUGAUGAGUAGUUAGAAGGUUAAAUGGGUAAUUUAACAUUCCAAUGGGUCAAUUGUAAGUCAAUUCCUAAGUCAAAAGGGCAAUAAGGGACUUUUACCUUAUGUCAAAGGUAGUUGGGGGGUGAUUGUUCAAUUUUGCGAACUUGGGGGGUGUCA